RNAcentral lists this long non-coding RNA (820 nucleotides) under Trifolium pratense (red clover). RNAcentral describes it as "long non-coding RNA (TPRA_LNC004023)". Lineage: Eukaryota; Viridiplantae; Streptophyta; Magnoliopsida; Fabales; Fabaceae. The record is from RNAcentral.
AUUUAAUAAUAACUCUAAUUCUUACAGAUCUAUAAGUACAAGAAAACAUAGUGACCAAUAAAUUUCUAUCUAUUGGGAGCUUAGGAAAAAAAUGACUAAAAUUAUUAAGUUUGUUUAUUUAAUGAUCUUCUAUAUUUCCUUGUUUUUUCUUGUAACUGACGUUAAUGGUAAACCAUUUUCGUAUCCUUUUGAACUUUUUUGAUUACUUACACAAAAUAUUCCAUCUCUUAAUUACAAUAAUUAUUUUGUUUUUUUCAUGACAGCGUUGUGGAAAAAAUGCCAGAAGGAUGUAGAUUGUAAACGUUGUGUUUGUGUAGCUCCUUUUGUUCCAAAGUGCCAUAUGGCUACAUGUUUAUGCCGUUCGCCUUCAUAAGAUAUCAGCUCAAUGGUAAGAGAUUGAUAUUUUAACCUCAAGGAACGGAGUUAAAUCUCAUUUUGAGACAAUUAAAUGGCCAUUAAAUCCAUUGUUAUAUUUAUAAUUUAUAAUAGUGUACUUCUCCAAUAUUUUGUUUAAGAUGUUAUUGCUGACUAUAGUAAUAGUAAUUAUAAUGUUGUUAAUGUUUUUUUCUUCCAAACAUACAAUAAAGCCAAUAAACAUCAUUCCCACUCAGUAAUUAUAAAACAAAUGAUAAAGUGAAAGUAGAGUUUUAAUGUAUUAAGGUUCAAUUGUAAUCUCCAAAUAUCAAGCCGUUCGUAUGUCGGUUGGUAAUAAAGGGCAAAAAAGGAAAAUGUUAUGUAAAUACAUUUAUUUGACAAAAAUAUAACAAAUAUAUUAUUUUUAAUAUUUUUUGCGGCAAAAAAUUAUAUCAUGCAUGUUUGA